Molecule: ribosomal RNA, 119 nt
Filed under: Pteropus alecto (black flying fox)
Lineage: Eukaryota; Metazoa; Chordata; Mammalia; Chiroptera; Pteropodidae
Source: RNAcentral
GUACACAGCUAUGCCACCCUGAACAAGCCCGAUCUCGUCUGAUCUCGGAAGCUAAGCAGGAUCAGGCCUGGUUAGCACUUGGAUAGGAAACCACCUAGGAAGACCAGGUGCUGUAGGCG